ACGGCCCUGAAUCAAGACCAGCAGUUGGCUGUAACUGCUGGUUUCAAACAGAGGCCAAAAUUAUAGCCUUUCAAUGGUCUGUUGGGUAUCCUCUGUGUUGGAAAAGGGGAAAUCCAGUUCAGUUGGAAGGAACACUU
RNAcentral lists this small nucleolar RNA (137 nucleotides) under Paramormyrops kingsleyae. The record is from RNAcentral. Lineage: Eukaryota; Metazoa; Chordata; Actinopteri; Osteoglossiformes; Mormyridae.